This 438-nucleotide ribosomal RNA is filed under the name uncultured bacterium. Its description in RNAcentral is "partial 16S ribosomal RNA". It matches the Rfam family "Bacterial small subunit ribosomal RNA", at positions 339 to 795 of the family's 1533-position model. The record is from RNAcentral.
CUACGGGCGGCUGCAGUGAGGAAUAUUGCACAAUGGGGGGAACCCUGAUGCAGCAACUCCGCGUGGAGGAUGACGCAUUUCGGUGUGUAAACUCCUUUUAUAUGUCAAGAAAAUGACGGUAGCAUAUGAAUAAGCACCGGCUAACUCCGUGCCAGCAGCCGCGGUAAUACGGAGGGUGCAAGCGUUACUCGGAAUCACUGGCGUAAAGGACGCGUAGGCGGGUUGGAAAGUCAGGUGUGAAAUCCUACAGCUUAACUGUAGAACUGCACUUGAAACUUCUAAUCUAGAGUAUGGGAGGGGGAGAUGGAAUUAGUGGUGUAGGGGUAAAAUCCGUAGAUAUCACUAGGAAUACCUAAAGCGAAGGCGAUCUCCUGGAACAUUACUGACGCUAAGGCGUGAAAGCGUGGGGAGCAAACAGGAUUAGAUACCCCCGUAGUC